This 502-nucleotide ribosomal RNA is filed under the name uncultured bacterium. RNAcentral describes it as "partial 16S ribosomal RNA". It matches the Rfam family "Bacterial small subunit ribosomal RNA", at positions 30 to 523 of the family's 1533-position model. The record is from RNAcentral.
AUUGAACGCUGGCGGCAUGCCUUACACAUGCAAGUCGAACGGCAGCACGGGAGCUUGCUCCUGGUGGCGAGUGGCGAACGGGUGAGUAAAGUAUCGGAACAUGCCCUGAAGUGGGGGAUAACGUAGCGAAAGUUACGCUAAUACCGCAUAUUCUGUGAGCAGGAAAGCAGGGGAUCGCAAGACCUUGCGCUUUAGGAGUGGCCGAUAUCGGAUUAGCUAGUUGGUGAGGUAAAGGCUCACCAAGGCGACGAUCCGUAGCGGGGCUGAGAGGAUGAUCCGCACAACUGGGACUGAGACCCGGCCCAGACUCCUACGGGAGGCAGCAGUGGGGAAUUUUGGACAAUGGGCGAAAGCCUGAUCCAGCCAUGCCGCGUGAGUGAAGAAGGCCUUCGGGUUGUAAAGCUCUUUCGGCGGGGAAGAAAUGGCGCUUUCUAAUACAGGGCGUUGAUGACGGUACCCGCAUAAGAAGCACCGGCUAACUACGUGCCAGCAGCCGCCGUAA